AAGUCGUAACAAGGUUUCCGUAGGUGAACCUGCGGAAGGAUCAUUAGCGAAGCUCGGAAUGCGCAUUCGGUCUGAUGCUGCCCGGCAACGGGAUGUGCUCGUCUGGAUGCGUGUCCCUUCUCUAUUCCACCCCUUUGUGAACCAAGUGUGCGAGCCGAAGAGAGAUCGGAGGCUCGCAUGCAAACCCUUAACAUACCCCAAUGAAGUAUCAGAAUGUACCUUGCGUUAACUCGCACAAAUACAACUUUCAACAACGGAUCUCUUGGCUCUC
This 271-nucleotide unclassified non-coding RNA is filed under the name air metagenome. Its description in RNAcentral is "partial contains small subunit ribosomal RNA, internal transcribed spacer 1, and 5.8S ribosomal RNA". The stretch from base 1 to 46 matches the Rfam family "Eukaryotic small subunit ribosomal RNA", at positions 1786 to 1831 of the family's 1831-position model. The record is from RNAcentral.